UGAUUGAAAACCAAAACUAGCUACUGUAUC
This 30-nucleotide non-coding RNA is filed under the name Mus musculus (house mouse). Lineage: Eukaryota; Metazoa; Chordata; Mammalia; Rodentia; Muridae. The record is from RNAcentral.